Molecule: ribosomal RNA, 425 nt
Filed under: uncultured bacterium
Lineage: Bacteria
Description: bacterial SSU rRNA
Rfam family: Bacterial small subunit ribosomal RNA
Source: RNAcentral
GUGGGGAAUAUUGCACAAUGGGGGAAACCCUGAUGCAGCGACGCCGCGUGAAGGAUGAAGUAUUUCGGUAUGUAAACUUCUAUCAGCAGGGAAGAAAAUGACGGUACCUGACUAAGAAGCCCCGGCUAACUACGUGCCAGCAGCCGCGGUAAUACGUAGGGGGCAAGCGUUAUCCGGAUUUACUGGGUGUAAAGGGAGCGUAGACGGUUAUGUAAGUCUGAUGUGAAAACCCGGGGCUCAACCCCGGGACUGCAUUGGAAACUAUGUAACUAGAGUGUCGGAGAGGUAAGUGGAAUUCCUAGUGUAGCGGUGAAAUGCGUAGAUAUUAGGAGGAACACCAGUGGCGAAGGCGGCUUACUGGACGAUGACUGACGUUGAGGCUCGAAAGCGUGGGGAGCAAACAGGAUUAGAUACCCUGGUAGUCC